This 503-nucleotide long non-coding RNA is filed under the name Populus tremula. Its description in RNAcentral is "long non-coding RNA (PTRE_LNC001119)". Lineage: Eukaryota; Viridiplantae; Streptophyta; Magnoliopsida; Malpighiales; Salicaceae. The record is from RNAcentral.
GCCCCUAAUGUUAUAUUUUCUUUCUGUUUUCCACAUCUUACAGACGAUUGUUUAACAGCACCAGUGAUUUUACUCUUUCCUUUAUUGGCAACCUUCGGUGGUAACAUUAGCUUCUUACCAUCAACUUCAGCAACAUCAUCGUCAUUAUCAUCAUCAUCGCCUUUACAAUCAUCCUCUAAUUGUCUAAUCAUCCUCUCCUCAUGCUCUCUUUGUUUAGAGCUAUACGGAUUGAAAUCUGCUUCCAUUUCUCUAGCUCUCCUUUUCUUUUCAACAUUCCCCUGAAGAUUCAGAAGCAUUUGAUGACGAACAUCCGGAGGACAUUUGCGACAUUGUUCCACUUCUCCUUUAGUUCCAGCUAAAUGUUGCUUGAAUCGAUUAAUACCUCCACCCGCAAAAACUUUGGCACAAUAUAAGCAUACUAAUUUGGUUUUCUUACAUCCCACACUAAGUUCAGGAGCUUUUCUGCAAUGACCCCAUGCUAAAUCUGUUUUUCCUCUUAUACC